CGGGACGUAGCGCAGCCUGGUUAGCGCGUUUGACUGGGGGUCAAAAGGUCGAGAGUUCGAAUCUCUCCGUCCCGACCA
This 78-nucleotide transfer RNA is filed under the name Lentisphaerae bacterium RIFOXYA12_64_32. RNAcentral's name for it is "tRNA-Pro". It matches the Rfam family "tRNA". From Rfam's summary of the family: Transfer RNA (tRNA) molecules are approximately 80 nucleotides in length. Their secondary structure includes four short double-helical elements and three loops (D, anti-codon, and T loops). The record is from RNAcentral. RNAcentral also lists the same sequence under 1 other name. Lineage: Bacteria; Pseudomonadati; Lentisphaerota.